CUCAGGAUGAAGCUAGAGAAAGGAGGAAGGGGAGAAGGAGAGUCCUGGAGAGGAAAGUCAGAGAGAAGUUGGGGUUUAGGACAGGCGUCAAAUCCCAAAUUUUAUUUCAUUGGCCAUGAAUGUAUUUCAUUUGAUUUCUUUUUUAUGUAACAGCUUCAUCCUCUAUCCAAAGGACAUGCCCUUGGAAAAAGAGAGAUCUCUUCUAUGAAUCAAAUUCUCACUGGAGUGAGCCAGGAAACAUACUUUGGUGCCUGUUCCAGGGCUCGAUGGUAUCAGUGCUUCCUGAAUUCCUUGAAGCUGAAUCCAGAAAUAAUGAUAGAGAUCAUUAAAAACUCUUCAGCUUCAUUAAUACUUCUUCCAAAUUUCUCCAGUUGUAUCCAAAGAGAAAACACUGAAAAUCACAAUGAGGAGAUCUGCAGAGUUUCUCCAGCUCUCCUUACAUCCCCCCCCCCCCAAUUCCUGGAGCUGAACCUCUGUGCCCAUUCCUGUGAAAUACAGAAAUAGUGACUCCAUGGGCUCACAAACCCAUUGUUAAUUCCAGAGUCUCCGAGGGAGCCUAAGAAAAAAAAUUACCUUUGAAAAGCACCAGAAGGAAGAGGAGCUCCCUGCCAAAUCUCAUGCUGGUGAUCUGAGGUAGAAAGCAAAUGAUUUAGGAAUGGAGUCGAAAGGAGGUGAUGUGAGAG
This 683-nucleotide long non-coding RNA is filed under the name Vombatus ursinus (common wombat). RNAcentral's name for it is "lncRNA (ENSVURG00010020461.1)". Lineage: Eukaryota; Metazoa; Chordata; Mammalia; Diprotodontia; Vombatidae. The record is from RNAcentral.